Eucalyptus grandis is the source of this 1006-nucleotide RNA transcript. RefSeq lists it as uncharacterized. The record is from RefSeq and is a predicted model, not a curated record. Lineage: Eukaryota; Viridiplantae; Streptophyta; Magnoliopsida; Myrtales; Myrtaceae. The transcript has 4 exons.
GUUCACCCGACCCGACUUGAUUUUCUUCCUCUCAUGUUUUCCCGGGAAAACCCUUCUUUCCCUUUCUAGCUUUCUCCGGGAAAAUUUUCCGAUCCGUUGCAAACCGUUCAUCAUCUUCCGUUCUGUAACAGAUCUCGACGACCUGCGAGGCUGCGAUGGAGAUUCGCAUCGGAAGAGGCUACGCGUGGGCCAUCGCCGCCGGAUUCAUGGCCGCUCUCGCCGCCAUUUCCGCCAAGUUCUUCUCCUCUCAGGUCAUUAAGUAUGGUUUUGUCAUACUGUUCAAUGUUACAAUGUGGGGAUGUUAUGUCAACAGCCUAAAGAGUCUCGUCUCUUCAAGCCACAGUUACGAACUUUGCGACAAAUUUCCUCACUUCUGGAUUAGCUGGGUUCUUUUUGUUUGAUGAGUCAUUGAGAUACCAGUGGUUUGCAGGUGCACUUUUCAUAGUGAUUGGUGUGCUAAUUCUCAGCAAAUCAAGUAUUGAGAAGAAAACUAGAGUUGAUUGAAAGUUCUCAGUUUAUGAGAGAUACCAUACGCCAUGCUUGAAGAUGACUUAGUAGAGAUCAGAAGUUCCAUUUUUGUGCCACUCUCAAGGAAAGGAGAAAAUGAAGUUGAGAAUUGAGGAUAUAAAGGGUGUUUCCUUCCUGGCCGGUGAUUCCGUGGGAACGAUCACUACUUGUCGUGACUGGCAGCACCAAGGAUGCUAUGUUGUUAAUGCCAGGAUUGCUAUGUUACUGUCAAUGGUGACUGUACAAUAUAGCUACAAGGCAAGCUGCAAAGAAGACAGAUUUGUGUUUAGAGAUGGGAUCCUAUCCUACCUUUUCACCAUGCCAAACGAGUAGGCUAAAACAUUGGUAAGUGAACCCUAAUUUAGGCGCUCUCGAAAGGCUGAAUGUGUCGUGCGCGCUUCGUGAGCGUGAAGCUAAAAGAUCAUCUUUACAUUGAUAUAACUCAAGGCCUUGAUGUGAGCUUAUGCCGACAUGUGGUAUAAUUUUAUUUUAUUUUUUU